Long non-coding RNA from Oncorhynchus tshawytscha (Chinook salmon), 3325 nucleotides. Lineage: Eukaryota; Metazoa; Chordata; Actinopteri; Salmoniformes; Salmonidae. The record is from Ensembl.
UACCAUCAAACUCAGGGUUUAUUGUAAAACACACGGUAAUGGGGGGAGCAGGAAAAGGGGCUGAGCUGGACCCAAGGAAAGAAACAAUAAGCAUCCAAAACACCCCUAAGCUAGACUAGCCUAUUUUAACAACAGCUAACUAACCAAAAAUACAGUGGGUGGUCCGCCCAGUUCUAACUAGUGUUUUUAACAAAGUCUACCUACGGGUAGUGUAUGCCCAUAGGCGACUUGUCUUGGUUUCCCCUUUUCCCACCAGCAAUCAAACAAACACCAUAACCAAAAACAAUACUCACAGGAGAUGACAAAGUGAUUUGGAGGUGCUCAAACAAAAGAGAGAUUAAGACACAAAGAGAGAGUGAAACACAGAGAUCUACAUACAUGGCAUUUACAGAGAGAUUGAGCUCUAGAGCAAACAACUGAUGGGGUUUUUAAACCAAGGGAAAGGAACUGUGAUAGGGUAGGAAACAGGAGGAGGUGUGUCUUCUGAUUGAUGAUUGAUUGUUGACUGAUUGGGGAGUGAUGAUGUUCACCUGUGAGGGGAGAAGGAGAGAAAAGACACACACACAGGAUACACACACAGGAUACUUGUAUCCGUAACAAUGAGUCAACAUGUUUUUUCUACUUGCACGAACGUGCACACACACAGAAAUCAGAACCAUGGACAGCCACAUCAUAUUUAGCUUACGUUGAUUGGACUAAAUUGUUUUUGGUAUCUUUUUGUUGUCACAAUUAGACUUAUCAUAGGUGAUUUGAUGUUAAAAUGUUGAAGUUGAAAUGGUGCUGGAAUAGUGGUGGCAGCUCCUUCUGUUUUCUUUGCGACUUGCGGUAACUCUCCGUGGUUGUAAAUCAAUAGUUGUUUAGUGGUCGGAAAACAUUAACUUGAUGGACCAUGCUGUAGUGUUUUGUCACAUGAAAUAUGCUUUGUGGACUUCAGACAGAGGUUGCUCUCCGGUUUUGUGAUGAAACAAAGGUGUGGUUGAAUUUAUUCUGCCUCGGUCUUCUCAUUGUCUCGGCCUUUAGGCCUAUAUAUAUCACAGUCGCCAGGCAUAUGAACUAACAGGUUAUAGAGCAAACAACGCAAUUAUCACAACACAUAGGUUGUAAUAUGGCUUUUCUGACUUCCCCAGUGAUUUUACCCAGGCAACGUUACUGAAUAUACAAAAGGGGUAUUUAAUGUGGUUGUCUCGUGUGUGUUUGCACAUGGCAAGUAUUUGUAAAUUCACAGAACAGUACACAGUUAGUCACUCACCCUUUACCGUGGCAAAAUUGGUUUGACAUCGGAUAGCCUCUCUCUGGCUCUAGUUAGGGAUUGUCAAUGAAUUACAGAAAGUACUAAGAGGGCUGGGAAAGCAAUUAUUUUAGAUGGAAGCUAGGGAUCGGGCUGGGAGAUGCUACUUUUUCACCCUACAAAGAUGACAUAUCUGAUGAUGUUGCAUCAUACUGUCACCCUAACCCUGCAGCGCCACACUCCUAACCUUGGCCAAAGAGCCAACUGGCCUGAUCAUGACCUUCUCACCAUGACACUGCCCUUGCCCCCCAAUGUCCAUUCUUGGAAUUCAUAGAGACACAAAGGACUUUAGUCACCAACCCUUCAUAUCAAAGUCUGUGAGCUAAGAAUGUACCAGAAUGUAAAAUAACAAUUUCCAUAGGUUUCCUGAUACAUCCUCUAUACAGCAUUGUUUAGUCUCAUCUCUAAGGCUCUAUAAACCUGUCACACACAUGUACUGUCCUUUCACCUCUUUGUUUACUUUGUUGUUGUCAUGUCACCAGAGUUAGUUAGUCUGUCCCUUAACUGUCUAACUCCUAGAGAAAACAUUUCCCAAGGUGACACAUUUACCUACAGUAUAGUUUUAUAACAAUUCACCCCUUCAAGAGAAGGCCAACAACUGUGGAAUUGUUCUGGCACAAAGGUGGUUCAGGCUUGAUUGAAACACUCUUCCACUAACCCUUUCAGGUAUGACUGAAACUCCAUUCAUAUUUGUUGGUCACAUAUACACUACAUGACCAAAAGUAUCUAGACACCUGCAUGUCGAACAUCUCCUUCCAAAAUUAUGGGUAUUAAUAUGGUGUAGGUCCCCCCUUUGCUGCUAUAACAGCCUCCACUUUCUGGGAAGACUUUCCACUAGAUGUUGGAACAUUACUGCGGGGACUUGCUUCCAUUCAGCCACAAGAGAAUUAGUGAGGUCGGGCACUGAUGUGCGAUUAGGCCUGGCUCACAAAGGUGUUUGAUGGGGUUGAGGUCAGGGCUCUGUGCAGAACGGUCAAGUUCUUCUACACCGAUCUUGACAAACCAUUUCUGUAUGGAUCUCACUUUGUGCAUGGGGGCAUUGUCAUGCUGAAACAGGAAAGGGCCUUCCUCAAACUGUUGCCACAAAGUUGGAAGCACAGGAUUGUCUAGAAUGUCAUUGUAUGCUGUAGCGUUAAGAUAUCCCUUCACUGGAACUAAGGGGCCUAGCCGAACCAUGAAAAAAAACAACCGAGACCAUUAUUCCUCAUCCACCAAAUUUUACAGUUGGCACUAUGCAUUUGGACAGUUACUGUGCUCCUGGCAUCUGCCAAACCCAGAUUCAUCCGUCGGACUGCCAGAUGGUGAAGUGUGAUUCAACAUUCCAGAGAACACGUAUCUACUGCUCCAGUCCAAUGGCGGCGAGUCCAAUGGCGGCGAGCUUUUCACCACUCCAGCUGACGCUUGGGAUUGUACAUGGUGAUCUUAGGUUUGUGAUCUUAGGCUGCUCGGCCAUGGAAAUCCAUUUCAUGAAGUUCCUAAUGAACAGUUAUUGUGCUGACGUUGCUUCCAGAGGCAGUUUGGAACUCAGUAGGGAGUGUUGCAAACGAUGACAGAGGAUUUUUAAGCGCUUCAGCACUCGGCAGUCCCGUUCUGUGAGCCUGUGUGGCCUACCACUGUGGCUGAGUCGUUGUUGCUCCUAGACUUUUCCACUUCACAAUAACAGCACUUACAGUUGACCAGGGUAGCUGUAGCAGGGCAGACAUUUGGACUGACUUAUUGGAACAUCCUAUGACGGUGCCACGUUGAAUGUCACUGAGCUCUUCAAUAAGGCCAUUCUAUUGCCAAUGUUAGUCAAUGGAGAUUGCAUGGCUGUGUGCUCGAUUUUAUACACCUGUCAGCAACGGGUUUGGUUGAAAUAGCCAAAUCCACUAAUUUGAAGGGGUGUCCACAUACUUUUGUACAUAUAUUGUAGGUGUUUUUUGUGUCUCUUAUCUUGUGGGAGGUAUUGUAUACCUAAUAGUGAACAUGUCCAUGGUGGAUUGAGGUUGUCAUAGUGCAAACCCCAGCAAUCUAACAAUGAGUGUGAGUUAAAAAUAG